UACGUAGGGUGCAAGCGUUGUCCGGAAUUAUUGGGCGUAAAGAGCUCGUAGGCGGUUUGUCGCGUCUGCUGUGAAAACUCAGGGCUUAACCCUGAGCCUGCAGUGGGUACGGGCAGACUAGAGUGUGGUAGGGGAGAUCGGAAUUCCUGGUGUAGCGGUGGAAUGCGCAGAUAUCAGGAGGAACACCGGUGGCGAAGGCGGAUCUCUGGGCCAUAACUGACGCUGAGGAGCGAAAGCAUGGGGAGCGAACGGG
RNAcentral lists this ribosomal RNA (253 nucleotides) under uncultured bacterium. Its description in RNAcentral is "partial 16S ribosomal RNA". It matches the Rfam family "Bacterial small subunit ribosomal RNA", at positions 524 to 776 of the family's 1533-position model. The record is from RNAcentral.